CCUACGGGUGGCAGCAGUGGGGAAUAUUGGGCAAUGGGCGCAAGCCUGACCCAGCAACGCCGCGUGAGGGAAGAAGGCUUUCGGGUUGUAAACUUCUUUUGACAGGGAAGAAUAGACGACGAUGCCUAUCGAGUAAGCCACUGCUAACUACGUGACAGCAGCCUCGGUAAGACGUAGGUGACAAGCGUUGACCGGAUUUGCUAGGGGUAAAGGGCGUGGAUGCGUGUUGACAAUGCAGAUGUGAAAUCCUGCGGCUUAAACGUAGAACUGCAUUUGAAACUGUCGAUCUUGAGUACUGGAGAGGCAGACGGAAUGCCUAGUGUAGCGGUGAAAUGCGUAGAUAUUAGGAAGAACACCAGUGGCGAAGGCGGUAUGCUGGACAGCAACUGACGGUGAGGCGCGAAAGCGUGGGGAGCAAACAGGAUUAGAUACCCCAGUAGUC
Molecule: ribosomal RNA, 442 nt
Filed under: uncultured bacterium
Lineage: Bacteria
Description: partial 16S ribosomal RNA
Rfam family: Bacterial small subunit ribosomal RNA
Source: RNAcentral